UUCUCGUACUCUCUUCUUUUCUCCUUCUUCUCUCUAUAUUCCUUCAAUCUCCCUUCAUCUGUUCAACAAUCAGACUGUGCCUAAGCAAUCCUGGUGUCAAAGAGCUUUCCAUUCCACCGAUUGGUUUAGUGUUUAGAGCUGUGAGCUAUAGAUGUUCUUAGGAUUUUCUGGAAGUGUGAGCAAAUUGCUGGAAGGGUAGAAGCUUUCUGUUCGGUUAAGAGGCGAUUUGCAAGUUGUUAGAGAAGUAUUGUAUUUACCAAGAAUGGGAGCAAGGAAAAGAUACAAAAGCAGGAUCUGAUGGAGCAGGGAAGGAAGUUCACGCCUGAGCGCCCUAGAAGAAGGGGGCUGGGCACCACUUUCUGCGCAAGCCUUGCGCCCAGGCGCGAACAAGAGGGCGCCGGGCGCGAGCAUCUGCGAGAGCUUCGCGCCCGGGCGCGAGA
Vigna angularis (adzuki bean) is the source of this 440-nucleotide long non-coding RNA. RefSeq lists it as uncharacterized. The transcript has 3 exons. NCBI's taxonomy places the organism in Eukaryota, Viridiplantae, Streptophyta, Magnoliopsida, Fabales, Fabaceae. The record is from RefSeq and is a predicted model, not a curated record.